Cygnus atratus (black swan) is the source of this 4213-nucleotide RNA transcript. It is a transcript of the gene named adenosine deaminase tRNA specific 1, with no coding region annotated. NCBI's taxonomy places the organism in Eukaryota, Metazoa, Chordata, Aves, Anseriformes, Anatidae. The record is from RefSeq and is a predicted model, not a curated record. The transcript has 11 exons.
GCCCGCUGAGGGGAGGGGGCCGGCUCCGGGGCUGCCGCGGGGUGCGCUGAGGCGCUGCUGCGGGUCGGCCGCGGCGCCGGCUGCGGAGCCCCGCGCUCCUCGGUCGCAGAGGUGUGGCGGGGGCCCGGAGGCCCCGAGGCGAGUGCGGUGGUGCCAGGCACGUCAGCGAUGACGCAGGAACCGUGCCGGGACGGUGGUGUGAUGAGCACUGGGGGCUGCUGUGCAGCGGGACCGUCGGGGAUCCAGCCACCUCGCCUGUUCCUGGGCUGUUCGGAAACUGGACUUGCACCAGGAGCCAUGUGGUCAGCUGAUGAAAUUGCUGAGCUAUGUUACGAGCAUUAUAGGACCAGACUCCCUAAGCAGGGAAAACCAGAUCCAAACAGGGAAUGGACUUCACUGGCAGCUGUUGUCAAAGUGGAGUCCGCAGCCCAAAGAGAGGUUCCUGCUAGACCAGGGAAUCUGCAGGUAACAAAGGAGGUUGUUGCUAUGGGAACUGGAACAAAAUGUAUUGGCCAAAACAAAAUGAGAAAAACUGGAGACAUUUUGAAUGACAGUCAUGCUGAAACUGUAGCCAAGAGGAGCUUCCAGAGGUAUCUUCUCCAUCAGAUGUGCCUGGCAGUUUCCUAUCAGCAAUGCAGCAUCUUUAUUCCAGGAACUGAAACAGGGAAAUGGAAACUCAAACCAAAUAUCAUAUUUGUUUUCUUCUCUAGUCAUACCCCAUGUGGAGAUGCUUCUAUUAUUCCAAUUACUGAACCAGAGAACCAGCUUUCUAAGUCAGUGAAUGGAGUUGGUGCGUCUGGACAGUCAGCACAGUGUAGUAGUAACCAUGAUCAUUUGGGUCUCAAAGAUAAAAGGAAAUUGGAGAAAAUGUCAAGUAAUCAUAUAAUCAAGAGAAGGAAAAAUAACGAUGGUGGUUGGUUUUCCAUGAUCAUUGAGGACCUGCCUGUUCAGCAAGUAUUUGUGAAACCAGAAGGCAACGCUAAUCCAAAGAGUUGUGAGUGUUCUGCACAGAUGCAAGCAGCUAACGAGACUGGCCUAAGCAGACUGAAGGCAGUAGAUGUGUAUAGAACUGGAGCAAAAUGUGUACCUGGAGAGCUGGAUGAUGCCAGAGUACCUGGGAUAGGGUAUCACCGUGUAGGAUUAUUACGAGUGAAGCCAGGUCGUGGGGACAGAACACGCUCUAUGUCCUGCAGUGAUAAACUGGCUCGCUGGAAUGUGUUGGGGUGUCAAGGAGCUCUCCUGAUGCAUUUCCUUCAAUAUCCAGUCUAUUUGUCAGCAAUUAUAGUAGGGAAGUGUCCAUAUAGCCAAGAAGCUAUGCGGAGAGCAAUUAUUGAAAGGUGUCAGCAUGUCUCAUCUUUACCAGAUGGUUUUCUCACUCAGGAGGUUAAACUGCUGCAAUCAGAGCUUCGAUUUGAACAUAGCCGUCAGGCAGUCCAGGAAGUUCAAACUAACAGCAAAACAAAACUUGUUCCCUGUAGCGCGGCUAUCAGUUGGAGUGCAGUUCCUGAACAACCUCUGGAUGUCACCUCAGAUGGUUUCCGGCAGGGAACAACAAAGAAAGGGAUUGGGAGCCAUCAGAGCAGAUCCAAGAUCUGUAAAGUGGAACUCUUCCAUGCAUUCCAAAGGCUGGUGACGAGUAUUUCACGAGAGAAUCUACCAGACACUCUCCGGAUGAAGACCCUAAAAACAUACUGGGACUACAAGGAAGCUGCAUCAAGUUAUCAAGAAGCCUGGAAAGUGCUGCGCAGCCAAGCGCUGCUGGGCUGGGUCAAGAAUGCCCAGGAAUACCUGCACUUCACAUGAGAAUAAAAGCAACUGUAAAUACAUCAAAAUGUCCUGAAACCCAGCAGAUACCUAUGCUACUCAAGGGCCAGUAAAGAUGUCCUCUAGUUCCUCUGCUAUAAGGAGAUAGGACUGAAAAGGAAAGUAAAAUCAGAGAUCUCUUUGUUUUGGUUGAUUUGCACCCCGCCCUGCACCCCCCUCUCCCCUUUAUUUAACUGUAGAGAAGAAUCACUGCAUAUUUAGUUCUGAGCUCCAUGAAACAACGUGCCUUCAAAAGUGAGGAAGCAGUGAUGCGAAUCAUCGUUUUUCUGAGGAUAUGAUUUAUCAGCUGUAGUCUGUUGGAAUGGAAGUAAUGUCAACUGAAAUUGAAACAGUGCUAUGGAAGAAAGGCUGUCAUUGUAAAACUUUGGUGCUGGUUUUCCUUCCGCUCUUCAUAAUGUUGUGAUUGUUUUUGUGUUGCUGGGACAACCCUAAUGUAUAAGACAUUACCUCUUGUGCUAUCACUGCACUGCUUGACAAAGAGUCCUUCCCCAGCUUUCCUGUAGCCACUGGAGGGCCUCUAUAGGGUCCCCCCAGAGCCUUCCCUUCUGCAGGCUGAAAAACUCCAGCUCCAGCUCUCCCAGCCUGUCUUCACAGGAGAGGUGCUUCAGCCCUCUGAUUCAACCUUGUGGCCCUCCUCUGGACUCACAUAUUCCUUCCUUCCAAAUGUAUUGGAGUCAUGAAAAAAUCAACAAGACUGCAGUACUGGUAAAUCAGCAAUGGCAAGUGAUAUGGAGGACCCAGGGAACUGCAGGCCUGACCUCGGUGCCAGGAAAGGUGAUGGAACAGGUCAUCUUGAAUGCAAUCACACAAUGUAUGCGGGACCACUGGGGGAUCAGGCCCAGUCAGCAUGGGUUCAUGAAAGGCAAGUCCUGCAUGACCAACCUCAUCUCCUUCUAUGACCAGGUGACCCACCUGGUGGAGGAGAGAAAGCCUCUUGACAUAGUCUACCUAGACUUCAGCAAGGCCUUUGACACAGUCUCCCACAGUAUUCUCCUGGAGAAGCUGGCAGCCUGUGGCUUGGACAGGUACACUCUUUGCUGGGUUUAAAACUGGCUGGAUGUCUGGGCCCAGAGAGUGGUGGUGAAUGGAGUGUGAUCCAGCUGGAGAACGGUCACCAGUGGUGAUCCCCUGGGGUCAGUGUUGGGGCCCAUCCUCUUUAAUAUCUUUGUUGAUGAUUUGGAUGAGGGAAUUGAGUGCACCCUCAGGAAGUUUGCAGAUGACACCAAGUUAAGGGGGAGUGUCGAUCUGCCAAAGGGUAGGAAGGCCCUGCAGAGGGACCUGGACAGGAUGAGUCAAUGGGCAGAGGCCAGUGGGAUGAGGUUCAACAUGGCUAAGUGCCAGGUCCUGCACUUUGGCCACAACAACCCCAUGCAGCACUACAGGCUUGGGGCAGAGUGGCUGGAAAGCUGUGCAGAGGAAAAGGAUCUGGGGGCGAUGAUAGAUGCUCGUCUGAACAUGAGCUGGCAGUGUGCCCAGGUGGCCAAGAAGGCCAAUGACAUGCUGGCUGGUAUCAGGAAUAGUGUAGUCAGCAAGACCAGGGAGGUGAUCGUCCCCUUGUAUUCAGCUCUGGUGAGGCCGCACCUCGAGUACUGUGUUCAGUUUUGGGCUCCUCAGUACAAGAAGGACAUCGAGGUCCUGGAACGUGUCCAGAGAAGGGCUACAAAGCUGCUGAAGGGUCUGGAACACAAGCCCUAUGAGGAGCAGCUGAAGGGACGUGGGAUUGUUUAGUUUGGAGAAGAGAAGGCUCAGGGGAGACCUUACUGCUCUCUACAACUGCCUGAAAGGAAGGUUUAGGGAGCUGGGGGUCAGCCUCUUCUCACGGGUAACUAGCGAUAGGACUAGAGGGAAUGGCCUCAGGUUGCACCAGGGGAGGUUUAGGUUGGAAAUUCAGAGACAUUUCUUCUCAGAAGGCGUAGUCAGGCAUUGGAAUGGGUUGUCCAGGGAAGUGGUGGCGUCACUGUCCCUGAGGGUGUUCAAGGGAAGGUUGGACCUGGCAUUUAGGGACAUGGGUUAGUGGGUGAUAUUGGUAGUAGGGUGAGGGUUUCGACCAGAUGAUCUUGAAAGUCUCUUCCAACCUUAAUGAUUCUAUGAUUGUGAAGUCCACUCGCUCCCUUUGUACAUACACUGCUUAUUUUGUCUCUGUCACUAUCUCAUACACAGAAAGUGGCAAUCAUUGAUUGAAAUUUUGUGUUACACAGAACUGUAGUCUGCAAGGAGCAUGCCCUAUUCUCUUUUAAAAUGUUAUAUGAUCAAAUAGUAAUCUGCAAACCAAGAAGUACAGAUUUAAUACACACACACCACUUCUACCCAUCAAACUUAACUGUCUCCUCUGAACAAAGCCCCAAGUCAUUCCUAACACAUGACAGAACUGAUUGCCUUGAUAUGGAGC